This 255-nucleotide ribosomal RNA is filed under the name uncultured bacterium. RNAcentral describes it as "partial 16S ribosomal RNA". It matches the Rfam family "Bacterial small subunit ribosomal RNA", at positions 524 to 777 of the family's 1533-position model. The record is from RNAcentral.
UACAGAGGUCUCGAGCGUUUGUUCGGAUUCAUUGGGCGUAAAGGGUGCGUAGGUGGCGUGGUAAGUCUGGUGUGAAAUCCCGGGGCUCAACCCCGGAACUGCACUGGAUACUGCCAUGCUUGAGUACUGGAGAGGAGAUUGGAAUUUACGGUGUAGCAGUGAAAUGCGUAGAUAUCGUAAGGAAGACCAGUGGCGAAGGCGAAUCUCUGGACAGUUACUGACACUGAGGCACGAAGGCCAGGGGAGCAAAACGGG